Molecule: long non-coding RNA, 213 nt
Filed under: Manihot esculenta (cassava)
Lineage: Eukaryota; Viridiplantae; Streptophyta; Magnoliopsida; Malpighiales; Euphorbiaceae
Description: long non-coding RNA (MESC_LNC009851)
Source: RNAcentral
GUCUUGUGUAUAGUUCGGUCAGACCUAAAAAGAGUGUCUUAGGGUGUUAUUUUCUCUCCUUACUAUAUAAGGAUAAGAAACACUUGUAAGAGGUAGCUUUGAAUCUAAAUUUUCAGAAUUCUUUUCAUACCUUUGGCGUGUAUUGCUUUGAGUGAGAGUGAGGAUUUGCUUUCAUCAAUUGCAUCAGGAACCUUGGCUUACUUAUCAACUAUU